RNAcentral lists this ribosomal RNA (253 nucleotides) under uncultured bacterium. Its description in RNAcentral is "partial 16S ribosomal RNA". It matches the Rfam family "Bacterial small subunit ribosomal RNA", at positions 524 to 776 of the family's 1533-position model. The record is from RNAcentral.
UACAGAGGUCCCGAGCGUUGUUCGGAUUCACUGGGCGUAAAGGGCGCGUAGGCGGUUCGUUAAGUCCUGUGUGAAAUCCCCCGGCUCAACUGGGGAACUGCACAGGAAACUAGCGGGCUUGAGUUCGGGAGAGGGAAGCGGAAUUCCGGGUGUAGCGGUGAAAUGCUUAGAUAUGACAUAGAACACCGAUAGCGAAGGCAGCUUGCUACACAGUCAUUGACACUGAGGCACGAAAGCGUGGGGAGCAAACAGG